AGUGAACGCUGGCGGUAGGCCUAACACAUGCCAGUCGAACGGCAGCACAGUAAGAGCUUGCUCUUACGGGUGGCGAGUGGCGGACGGGUGAGGAAUACAUCGGAAUCUACUUUUUCGUGGGGGAUAACGUAGGGAAACUUACGCUAAUACCGCAUACGACCUACGGGUGAAAGCAGGGGAUCUUCGGACCUUGCGCGAUUGAAUGAGCCGAUGUCGGAUUAGCUAGUUGGCGGGGUACAGGCCCACCAAGGCGACGAUCCGUAGCUGGUCUGAGAGGAUGAUCAGCCACACUGGAACUGAGACACGGUCCAGACUCCUACGGGAGGCAGCAGUGGGGAAUAUUGGACAAUGGGCGCAAGCCUGAUCCAGCCAUACCGCGUGGGUGAAGAAGGCCUUCGGGUUGUAAAGCCCUUUUGUUGGGAAAGAAAAGCAGCAGGUUAAUACCCCGCUGUUCUGACGGUACCCAAAGAAUAAGCACCGGCUAACUUCGUG
RNAcentral lists this ribosomal RNA (492 nucleotides) under uncultured bacterium. Its description in RNAcentral is "partial 16S ribosomal RNA". It matches the Rfam family "Bacterial small subunit ribosomal RNA", at positions 29 to 507 of the family's 1533-position model. The record is from RNAcentral.